UCUUAACCUCUUUGGAAUUGACUCAGAAUCUCUUAAUGAACUACAUAGGAAUUUUAGUCAUUAUUUGGCUUCUGGUCAUGAAUAAAAUUACCCCAAACCUGUUACCCACCUUACUCACUACUCUUGGCUUCUCAUGACCUCAUAUUUGUUUCCGUAAUCAGAAUAAUAGGAAACAAUUCUAAACCAGGAGUUCUAUAAACGGGUUCAGCUGUGGGAGUAAAAUAGGAGUAAUUUCAUAGCUUCUCCGUAUAAUUGCACUGUAUCUGUAAGAGUAGAAGACGUCAAUCUUAAAAGAUUUGAGGAGGUUAUUUCCACACAUUAAAAGUGGGUCAACCAAAACCGCAUGGCGUACUACUCUCUGAAGCCUCUACUACCCUGCUCCUCCGUGUUGACAUGUGGUCAGGCAAGCCAGGACUUACUCACAUCAGCUACAUCAGUUACUGGGAUGGAGAAAAUUGAAGCCUAGAAAGAUCAAGAAACUUUCUCCAGGCCAUAAAUAGAGGAAUCAGGAUUCAAAUCAGAUAGACCCCAGGGCUUGUUCUCUUCAACACCACAUUACCCUACAUUAUUAUUCAAUUAUUAAAUAAAACCUUGCAUUAGUGGCAUUUCCAAAUGCAUAACAAAAAAAUAAAAAAAAGUAACACUGGUC
RNAcentral lists this long non-coding RNA (649 nucleotides) under Homo sapiens (human). RNAcentral's name for it is "HSALNT0335080". Lineage: Eukaryota; Metazoa; Chordata; Mammalia; Primates; Hominidae. The record is from RNAcentral.